Molecule: unclassified non-coding RNA, 197 nt
Filed under: uncultured fungus
Lineage: Eukaryota; Fungi
Description: sequence contains ITS1, 5.8S rRNA gene
Source: RNAcentral
AUGAAUGAACUGACUGAGCGAGCUCCUCGGAGCAGCUCUGGUCUUCAACACCUUGUGAAUUGUGAAUGUCUUUGGCAAGUGAUGCGCUUCGAGUAAUCGAGGUGCAGAGUUUCGCUCGGUUUGAGCGAAAGCUUGCCUAUGAAUUUUAAACUAUUGCCUUUUGAGCCUGACCAAUUUUUAUCAGAGAAAUACUGAAA